RNAcentral lists this ribosomal RNA (356 nucleotides) under uncultured Helicobacter sp. Its description in RNAcentral is "bacterial SSU rRNA". It matches the Rfam family "Bacterial small subunit ribosomal RNA", at positions 85 to 450 of the family's 1533-position model. Lineage: Bacteria; Pseudomonadati; Campylobacterota; Epsilonproteobacteria; Campylobacterales; Helicobacteraceae. The record is from RNAcentral.
AGUGGAUAAGAUGGCGCACGGGUGAGUAUCGCAUAUGAUAGACAUGCCCUUUAGUUUGGGAUAUGCCACUAGGAAAUGGUGAUAAAUACCAAAUACUAUCCCUACGGGGGAAAGAUUUAUCGCUAUAGAGAUUGGUCUAUGUCCUAUCAGCUUGUUGGUGAGGUAAAGGCUCACCAAGGCUAUGACGGGUAUCCGGCCUGAGAGGGUGAACGGACACACUGGAACUGAGACACGGUCCAGACUCCUACGGGAGGCAGCAGUAGGGAAUAUUGCUCAAUGGGCGCAAGCCUGAAGCAGCAACGCCGCGUGGAGGAUGAAGGUUUUAGGAUUGUAAACUCCUUUUGUCAGAGAAGAUC